GACGAACGCUGGCGGCGUGCUUAACGCAUGCAAGUCGAACGGAAAGGCCCUGCUCUUGUUGGGUGCUCGAGUGGCGAACGGGUGAGUAACACGUGAGUAACCUGCCCUUGUCUUUCGGAUAACUCCAGGAAACUGGGGCUAAUACCGGAUAGGAGCUCUUGCUGCAUGGUGGGGGUUGGAAAGUUUCGGCGGUUGGGGAUGGACUCGCGGCUUACCAGCUUGUUGGUGGGGUAGUGGCUUACCAAGGCUUUGACGGGUAGCCGGCCUGAGAGGGUGACCGGCGACAUGAGGACUGAGAUACGGCGCAGACUGCUACGGGAGGCAGCAGGGGGGAAUAUUGCACAGUGGGCGGAAGCCUGAUGCAGCAACGCCGCGUGCGGGAUAACGGCCUUCGGGUUGUAAACCGCUUUCGCCUGUGACGAAGCGUGAGUGACGGUAAUGGGUAAAGAAGCACCGGCUAACUACGUG
RNAcentral lists this ribosomal RNA (468 nucleotides) under uncultured bacterium. Its description in RNAcentral is "partial 16S ribosomal RNA". It matches the Rfam family "Bacterial small subunit ribosomal RNA", at positions 28 to 507 of the family's 1533-position model. The record is from RNAcentral.